RNAcentral lists this ribosomal RNA (1351 nucleotides) under uncultured bacterium. RNAcentral's name for it is "bacterial SSU rRNA". It matches the Rfam family "Bacterial small subunit ribosomal RNA", at positions 42 to 1388 of the family's 1533-position model. The record is from RNAcentral.
ACAGGCUUAACACAUGCAAGUCGAGGGGCAGCAUGGUCUUAGCUUGCUAAGACUGAUGGCGACCGGCGCACGGGUGAGUAACACGUAUCCAACCUGCCGUCUACUCUUGGACAGCCUUCUGAAAGGAAGAUUAAUACAAGAUGGCAUCAUGAGUCCACAUGUUCACAUGAUUAAAGGUAUUCCGGUAGACGAUGGGGAUGCGUUCCAUUAGAUAGUAGGCGGGGUAACGGCCCACCUAGUCUUCGAUGGAUAGGGGUUCUGAGAGGAAGGUCCCCCACAUUGGAACUGAGACACGGUCCAAACUCCUACGGGAGGCAGCAGUGAGGAAUAUUGGUCAAUGGGCGAGAGCCUGAACCAGCCAAGUAGCGUGAAGGAUGACUGCCCUAUGGGUUGUAAACUUCUUUUAUAAAGGAAUAAAGUCGGGUAUGCAUACCCGUUUGCAUGUACUUUAUGAAUAAGGAUCGGCUAACUCCGUGCCAGCAGCCGCGGUAAUACGGAGGAUCCGAGCGUUAUCCGGAUUUAUUGGGUUUAAAGGGAGCGUAGAUGGAUGUUUAAGUCAGUUGUGAAAGUUUGCGGCUCAACCGUAAAAUUGCAGUUGAUACUGGAUAUCUUGAGUGCAGUUGAGGCAGGCGGAAUUCGUGGUGUAGCGGUGAAAUGCUUAGAUAUCACGAAGAACUCCGAUUGCGAAGGCAGCCUGCUAAGCUGCAACUGACAUUGAGGCUCGAAAGUGUGGGUAUCAAACAGGAUUAGAUACCCUGGUAGUCCACACGGUAAACGAUGAAUACUCGCUGUUUGCGAUAUACAGCAAGCGGCCAAGCGAAAGCGUUAAGUAUUCCACCUGGGGAGUACGCCGGCAACGGUGAAACUCAAAGGAAUUGACGGGGGCCCGCACAAGCGGAGGAACAUGUGGUUUAAUUCGAUGAUACGCGAGGAACCUUACCCGGGCUUAAAUUGCAGAUGAAUUACGGUGAAAGCCGUAAGCCGCAAGGCAUCUGUGAAGGUGCUGCAUGGUUGUCGUCAGCUCGUGCCGUGAGGUGUCGGCUUAAGUGCCAUAACGAGCGCAACCCUUGUUGUCAGUUACUAACAGGUUCUGCUGAGGACUCUGACAAGACUGCCAUCGUAAGAUGUGAGGAAGGUGGGGAUGACGUCAAAUCAGCACGGCCCUUACGUCCGGGGCUACACACGUGUUACAAUGGGGGGUACAGAGGGCCGCUACCACGCGAGUGGAUGCCAAUCCCAAAAACCUCUCUCAGUUCGGACUGGAGUCUGCAACCCGACUCCACGAAGCUGGAUUCGCUAGUAAUCGCGCAUCAGCCACGGCGCGGUGAAUACGUUCCCGGGCCUUGUACAC